GACAGAGGUCCCGAGCGUUAGGCGGAAUCACUGGGCUUAAAGCGUGUGUAGGCGGAUUGUAAGUACCUUGUGAAAUCCCACGGCUCAACCGUGGAACUGCUUGGUAUACUGCUUAUCUUGAGCCACCUAGGGCGAACCGGAACAAACGGUGGAGCGGUGAAAUGCGUAGAUAUCGAGAGGAACACAGUGGCGAAGGCGAGUCUCUGGACGACUCCUGACACUGAGGCAC
RNAcentral lists this ribosomal RNA (229 nucleotides) under uncultured bacterium. RNAcentral describes it as "partial 16S ribosomal RNA". It matches the Rfam family "Bacterial small subunit ribosomal RNA", at positions 524 to 754 of the family's 1533-position model. The record is from RNAcentral.